GCUCAGGCAGAAGACAACACCAUGGACCUCAACACAUUCCACACCCGGUGGAGAUGGACGAGUGACCUGACCUGAGAUUUCGUUUUCUUUUCAGAUCUACACCUCCACCACCAUCAUGUACGUUUUUUCAGUUAUUUGAUGUGUUAACAUGGGUUUAUGUUUUGAAAUUAUAUGCAUAAGAAGCCCACUAUUAAAGGAAUGACAUUAGUGUCAUCUUUCUAUCCAGAUAUGUCAAUGCCUCACAGCUGUGAAGCUGCCACUUCCUCCCAAACUCAUGGCACAGCACCCAGCCAUUCGGAAGAUUUGAGGCACAAACAUCAUCCAUUCAAAAACAUCUGGAAUGUCCUGGAGGAACACAAGAAGACCCUUUUGAGGAUAACAGAAUUCAUAAAGUACAUGCCAUGGAAGAGCACAUGGGGCCAAUGACAAGGAAGAUGGAGGUUAUGGAGAGGAAGUCCAUGACUUUGAAGGCUGCCAUGGCUUUGAACAUGCCACGACCUGCUGUUGGUCCAGUGCAGCAGAGAGCAUAAGCUGGUGGAGCUAGCCAGAAGCCUGGCUCAACCAGAAAUGAGAAAC
Engraulis encrasicolus (European anchovy) is the source of this 576-nucleotide long non-coding RNA. RefSeq lists it as uncharacterized. NCBI's taxonomy places the organism in Eukaryota, Metazoa, Chordata, Actinopteri, Clupeiformes, Engraulidae. The transcript has 3 exons. The record is from RefSeq and is a predicted model, not a curated record.